AGUGAACGCUGGCGGUAGGCCUAACACAUGCAAGUCGAACGGCAGCACAGUAAGAGCUUGCUCUUACGGGUGGCGAGUGGCGGACGGGUGAGGAAUACAUCGGAAUCUGCUUUUUCGUGGGGGAUAACGUAGGGAAACUCACGCUAAUACCGCAUACGACCUACGGGUGAAAGCAGGGGAUCUUCGGACCUUGCGCGAUUGAAUGAGCCGAUGUCGGAUUAGCUAGUUGGCGGGGUAAAGGCCCACCAAGGCGACGAUCCGUAGCUGGUCUGAGAGGAUGAUCAGCCACACUGGAACUGAGACACGGUCCAGACUCCUACGGGAGGCAGCAGUGGGGAAUAUUGGACAAUGGGCGCAAGCCUGAUCCAGCCAUACCGCGUGGGUGAAGAAGGCCUUCGGGUUGUAAAGCCCUUUUGUUGGGAAAGAAAAGCAGCAGGUUAAUACCCCGCUGUUCUGACGGUACCCAAAGAAUAAGCACCGGCUAACUUCGU
Molecule: ribosomal RNA, 491 nt
Filed under: uncultured bacterium
Lineage: Bacteria
Description: partial 16S ribosomal RNA
Rfam family: Bacterial small subunit ribosomal RNA
Source: RNAcentral